RNAcentral lists this transfer RNA (69 nucleotides) under Ictidomys tridecemlineatus (thirteen-lined ground squirrel). Its description in RNAcentral is "Spermophilus tridecemlineatus (thirteen-lined ground squirrel) tRNA". It matches the Rfam family "tRNA". From Rfam's summary of the family: Transfer RNA (tRNA) molecules are approximately 80 nucleotides in length. Their secondary structure includes four short double-helical elements and three loops (D, anti-codon, and T loops). The record is from Rfam by way of RNAcentral. Lineage: Eukaryota; Metazoa; Chordata; Mammalia; Rodentia; Sciuridae.
GGGGUUGUGGCUCAGCGGUAGAGCGCUUACCUCUUAUGUUUGAGACCCUGGGUUUGAUCCUCAGCACCA